This 73-nucleotide transfer RNA is filed under the name Xenopus borealis (Kenyan clawed frog). Its description in RNAcentral is "tRNA-Asn". Lineage: Eukaryota; Metazoa; Chordata; Amphibia; Anura; Pipidae. The record is from RNAcentral.
CUAGGAAGAUGGGUCUCGAUCCCAUAAUAUCUUAGUUAACAGCUAAGCGCUCAAUCCAGCGAGCUUCGUCCUA